AUUGAACGCUGGCGGCAUGCUUUACACAUGCAAGUCGAACGGCAGCGCGGGCUUCGGCCUGGCGGCGAGUGGCGAACGGGUGAGUAAUGCAUCGGAACGUGCCCAGUAGUGGGGGAUAGCCCGGCGAAAGCCGGAUUAAUACCGCAUACGACCUGAGGGUGAAAGCGGGGGACCGAAAGGCCUCGCGCUAUUGGAGCGGCCGAUGUCGGAUUAGCUAGUUGGUGGGGUAAAGGCUUACCAAGGCGACGAUCCGUAGCUGGUCUGAGAGGACGACCAGCCACACUGGGACUGAGACACGGCCCAGACUCCUACGGGAGGCAGCAGUGGGGAAUUUUGGACAAUGGGGGCAACCCUGAGCCAGCCAUGCCGCGUGCGGGAAGAAGGCCUUCGGGUUGUAAACCGCUUUUGUUCGGGAAGAAAUCCUCUGGGCUAAUACCCCGGGGGGAUGACGGUACCGGAAGAAUAAGCACCGGCUAACUACGU
This 483-nucleotide ribosomal RNA is filed under the name uncultured bacterium. Its description in RNAcentral is "partial 16S ribosomal RNA". It matches the Rfam family "Bacterial small subunit ribosomal RNA", at positions 28 to 506 of the family's 1533-position model. The record is from RNAcentral.